CGGGAUGUAGCUCAGUUGGCUAGAGUGCACGCAUGGGGUGCGUGAGGUCGCUGGUUCGAGUCCAGUCAUCCCGACCA
This 77-nucleotide transfer RNA is filed under the name Candidatus Peregrinibacteria bacterium CG10_big_fil_rev_8_21_14_0_10_49_16. Its description in RNAcentral is "tRNA-Pro". It matches the Rfam family "tRNA". Rfam says of the family: Transfer RNA (tRNA) molecules are approximately 80 nucleotides in length. Their secondary structure includes four short double-helical elements and three loops (D, anti-codon, and T loops). Further hydrogen bonds mediate the characteristic L-shaped molecular structure. tRNAs have two regions of fundamental functional importance: the anti-codon, which is responsible for specific mRNA codon recognition, and the 3' end, to which the tRNAs corresponding amino acid is attached (by aminoacyl-tRNA synthetases). tRNAs cope with the degeneracy of the genetic code in two manners: having more than one tRNA (with a specific anti-codon) for a particular amino acid; and 'wobble' base-pairing, i.e. permitting non-standard base-pairing at the 3rd anti-codon position. RNAcentral also lists the same sequence under 1 other name. The record is from RNAcentral. Lineage: Bacteria; Candidatus Peregrinibacteriota.